This 427-nucleotide ribosomal RNA is filed under the name uncultured bacterium. Its description in RNAcentral is "partial 16S ribosomal RNA". It matches the Rfam family "Bacterial small subunit ribosomal RNA", at positions 355 to 774 of the family's 1533-position model. The record is from RNAcentral.
UGGGGAAUAUUGGACAAUGGGCGAAAGCCUGAUCCAGCCAUGCCGCGUGUGUGAAGAAGGUCUUCGGAUUGUAAAGCACUUUAAGUUGGGAGGAAGGGCAGUAAGUUAAUACCUUGCUGUUUUGACGUUACCGACAGAAUAAGCACCGGCUAACUCUGUGCCAGCAGCCGCGGUAAUACAGAGGGUGCAAGCGUUAAUCGGAAUUACUGGGCGUAAAGCGCGCGUAGGUGGUUUGUUAAGUUGGAUGUGAAAGCCCCGGGCUCAACCUGGGAACUGCAUCCAAAACUGGCAAGCUAGAGUACGGUAGAGGGUGGUGGAAUUUCCUGUGUAGCGGUGAAAUGCGUAGAUAUAGGAAGGAACACCAGUGGCGAAGGCGACCACCUGGACUGAUACUGAUACUGAGGUGCGAAAGCGUGGGGAGCAAACA